This is a non-coding RNA of Gossypium raimondii (Peruvian cotton), 46 nucleotides long. The record is from Rfam. Lineage: Eukaryota; Viridiplantae; Streptophyta; Magnoliopsida; Malvales; Malvaceae.
UUAGCGGCGCUUUUUAGCGCCACAAAAGGUCUCGCAAAAAAUGUCG